AUACUUACCUGGCACAGGGGUAAACCAUGAUCAUCAAGGUGGUUCUCCCAGAGUGAGGCCCUUCCAUUGCACUCCGGUUGGGUUGACCUUUGCGAUCGCCCCAAAUGUGUGUUAUAUUAAUUAUCUUUUUUAUAAUUUUGAUAUAUAUUAAAUAAUAUAAAUUAAU
Molecule: small nuclear RNA, 166 nt
Organism: Octopus sinensis (East Asian common octopus)
Lineage: Eukaryota; Metazoa; Mollusca; Cephalopoda; Octopoda; Octopodidae
Product: U1 spliceosomal RNA
Exons: 1
Source: RefSeq, a predicted model, not a curated record